This 384-nucleotide ribosomal RNA is filed under the name uncultured bacterium. Its description in RNAcentral is "bacterial SSU rRNA". It matches the Rfam family "Bacterial small subunit ribosomal RNA", at positions 44 to 458 of the family's 1533-position model. The record is from RNAcentral.
UUGCUUUACCACAUGCAAGUCGACCGAGCCCUUCGGGUCUAGUGGCGCACGGGUGCGUAACGCGUGGGAAUCUGCCCUUUGCUACGGAAUAACUCAGAGAAAUUUGUGCUAAUCCCGUAUAAUGUCGUCCGGCCAAAGAUUUAUCGGCAAAGGAUGAGCCCGCGUAAGAUUAGCUUGUUGGUGGGGUAAAGGCCUCCCCCGGCGCCGUCUUUGCUGGUAUGAGAGGAUGUCAGCCCCCCUGGGACUGAGACACGGCCCAGACUCCUACGGGAGGCAGCAGUGGGGAAUAUUGGACAAUGGGCGAAAGCCUGAUCCAGCAAUGCCGCGUGAGUGAUGAAGGCCUUAGGGUUGUAAAGCUCUUUUACCAGGGAUGAUAAUGACAGU